AUGAAUAAGAAUGCCACCACCAGCAGCUCUACAGAGGAAGCAAAUGCCACAAAGUGGAAGUCAUCAAAGAGUUUUUCGUGCACAUCACCAAAGAACAUAGUCACUUAGAAACUUGAACUUCAUAAUAGAGCCUCUGGGAGCAAACAAGAAACAUCAUCUUAAAAUUGCAUCUCUUUCUGGCACAUUUUUC
Molecule: long non-coding RNA, 190 nt
Filed under: Ictidomys tridecemlineatus (thirteen-lined ground squirrel)
Lineage: Eukaryota; Metazoa; Chordata; Mammalia; Rodentia; Sciuridae
Description: lncRNA (ENSSTOG00000032295.1)
Source: RNAcentral